AUGGCCUGUAUAAGGCCCUUGUUAGUCAUCAGAGAGAGAGCACGUAAGAGAGCACUGAGGAGAGAGGCAGAGGGAGAUGGGGAGAUGGAGAGAGAAAAUCUCAAGCAGACACUCCCCCAUCCCCACCUUUGCUGAGCAGGGAACCCAGA
Molecule: long non-coding RNA, 149 nt
Filed under: Mustela putorius furo (domestic ferret)
Lineage: Eukaryota; Metazoa; Chordata; Mammalia; Carnivora; Mustelidae
Description: lncRNA (ENSMPUG00000028314.1)
Source: RNAcentral